CCUACGGGCGGCUGCAGUGGGGGAUAUUGCACAAUGGGGGGAACCCUGAUCCAGCGACGCCGCGUGAGUGAAGAAGUAUCUCGGGAUGUAAAGCUCUAUCAGCAGGGAAGAAGAAAUGACGGUACCUGAGUAAGAAGCCCCGGCUAACUACGUGCCAGCAGCCGGGGUAAUACGGAGGGGGCAAGCGUUAUCCGGAAUUACUGGGGGGAAAGGGAGCGUAGACGGUGAAGUAAGUCAGGAGUGAAAGGCGGGGGCCCAACCCCCGGACUGCUUUUGAAACUAUUUGGCUGGAGUGCAGGAGAGGUGAGCGGAAUUCCUAGUGUAGCGGUGAAAUGCGUAGAUAUUAGGAGGAACACCAGUGGCGAAGGCGGCUCACUGGACAGUAACUGACGUUGAGGCUCGAAAGCGUGGGGAGCAAACAGGAUUAGAUACCCGAGUAGUC
RNAcentral lists this ribosomal RNA (442 nucleotides) under uncultured bacterium. Its description in RNAcentral is "partial 16S ribosomal RNA". It matches the Rfam family "Bacterial small subunit ribosomal RNA", at positions 338 to 795 of the family's 1533-position model. The record is from RNAcentral.